UACGGGGGGGGCAAGCGUUGUUCGGAAUUACUGGGCGUAAAGGGCUCGUAGGCGGCCAACUAAGUCGGAUGUGAAAUCCCCAGGCUCAACCUGGGAACUGCAUCCGAUACUGGAUGGCUUGAAUCCGGGAGAGGGAUGCAGAAUUCCAGGUGUAGCGGUGAAAUGCGUAGAUAUGCGGAGGAACACCGAUGGCGAAGGCAAUCCCCUGGGCCUGCACUGACGCUCAUGCACGAAAGCGUGGGGAGCGAACAGG
Molecule: ribosomal RNA, 253 nt
Filed under: uncultured bacterium
Lineage: Bacteria
Description: partial 16S ribosomal RNA
Rfam family: Bacterial small subunit ribosomal RNA
Source: RNAcentral